This 1606-nucleotide ribosomal RNA is filed under the name Escherichia coli. RNAcentral's name for it is "partial 23S ribosomal RNA". It matches the Rfam family "Bacterial large subunit ribosomal RNA", at positions 578 to 2167 of the family's 2925-position model. Lineage: Bacteria; Pseudomonadati; Pseudomonadota; Gammaproteobacteria; Enterobacterales; Enterobacteriaceae. The record is from RNAcentral.
AGCCUCUUUUAUGGGGUGACUGCGUACCUUUUGUAUAAUGGGUCAGCGACUUAUAUUCUGUAGCAAGGUUAACCGAAUAGGGGAGCCGAAGGGAAACCGAGUCUUAACUGGGCGUUAAGUUGCAGGGUAUAGACCCGAAACCCGGUGAUCUAGCCAUGGGCAGGUUGAAGGUUGGGUAACACUAACUGGAGGACCGAACCGACUAAUGUUGAAAAAUUAGCGGAUGACUUGUGGCUGGGGGUGAAAGGCCAAUCAAACCGGGAGAUAGCUGGUUCUCCCCGAAAGCUAUUUAGGUAGCGCCUCGUGAAUUCAUCUCCGGGGGUAGAGCACUGUUUCGGCAAGGGGGUCAUCCCGACUUACCAACCCGAUGCAAACUGCGAAUACCGGAGAAUGUUAUCACGGGAGACACACGGCGGGUGCUAACGUCCGUCGUGAAGAGGGAAACAACCCAGACCGCCAGCUAAGGUCCCAAAGUCAUGGUUAAGUGGGAAACGAUGUGGGAAGGCCCAGACAGCCAGGAUGUUGGCUUAGAAGCAGCCAUCAUUUAAAGAAAGCGUAAUAGCUCACUGGUCGAGUCGGCCUGCGCGGAAGAUGUAACGGGGCUAAACCAUGCACCGAAGCUGCGGCAGCGACGCUUAUGCGUUGUUGGGUAGGGGAGCGUUCUGUAAGCCUGUGAAGGUGUACUGUGAGGUAUGCUGGAGGUAUCAGAAGUGCGAAUGCUGACAUAAGUAACGAUAAAGCGGGUGAAAAGCCCGCUCGCCGGAAGACCAAGGGUUCCUGUCCAACGUUAAUCGGGGCAGGGUGAGUCGACCCCUAAGGCGAGGCCGAAAGGCGUAGUCGAUGGGAAACAGGUUAAUAUUCCUGUACUUGGUGUUACUGCGAAGGGGGGACGGAGAAGGCUAUGUUGGCCGGGCGACGGUUGUCCCGGUUUAAGCGUGUAGGCUGGUUUUCCAGGCAAAUCCGGAAAAUCAAGGCUGAGGCGUGAUGACGAGGCACUACGGUGCUGAAGCAACAAAUGCCCUGCUUCCAGGAAAAGCCUCUAAGCAUCAGGUAACAUCAAAUCGUACCCCAAACCGACACAGGUGGUCAGGUAGAGAAUACCAAGGCGCUUGAGAGAACUCGGGUGAAGGAACUAGGCAAAAUGGUGCCGUAACUUCGGGAGAAGGCACGCUGAUAUGUAGGUGAAGCGACUUGCUCGUGGAGCUGAAAUCAGUCGAAGAUACCAGCUGGCUGCAACUGUUUAUUAAAAACACAGCACUGUGCAAACACGAAAGUGGACGUAUACGGUGUGACGCCUGCCCGGUGCCGGAAGGUUAAUUGAUGGGGUUAGCGGUAACGCGAAGCUCUUGAUCGAAGCCCCGGUAAACGGCGGCCGUAACUAUAACGGUCCUAAGGUAGCGAAAUUCCUUGUCGGGUAAGUUCCGACCUGCACGAAUGGCGUAAUGAUGGCCAGGCUGUCUCCACCCGAGACUCAGUGAAAUUGAACUCGCUGUGAAGAUGCAGUGUACCCGCGGCAAGACGGAAAGACCCCGUGAACCUUUACUAUAGCUUGACACUGAACAUUGAGCCUUGAUGUGUAGGAUAGGUGGGAGGCUUUGAAGUGUGG